GCGGCGUUACCUCAGCUGGAUAGAGGACCUGACUACGAAUCAGGGCGUCAUAGGUUCGAAUCCUAUACGCCGCACCA
This 77-nucleotide transfer RNA is filed under the name Lancefieldella parvula. RNAcentral's name for it is "tRNA-Arg". It matches the Rfam family "tRNA". Rfam says of the family: Transfer RNA (tRNA) molecules are approximately 80 nucleotides in length. Their secondary structure includes four short double-helical elements and three loops (D, anti-codon, and T loops). Further hydrogen bonds mediate the characteristic L-shaped molecular structure. tRNAs have two regions of fundamental functional importance: the anti-codon, which is responsible for specific mRNA codon recognition, and the 3' end, to which the tRNAs corresponding amino acid is attached (by aminoacyl-tRNA synthetases). tRNAs cope with the degeneracy of the genetic code in two manners: having more than one tRNA (with a specific anti-codon) for a particular amino acid; and 'wobble' base-pairing, i.e. permitting non-standard base-pairing at the 3rd anti-codon position. The record is from RNAcentral. Lineage: Bacteria; Bacillati; Actinomycetota; Coriobacteriia; Coriobacteriales; Atopobiaceae. RNAcentral also lists the same sequence under 37 other names.